CCUACGGGAGGCUGCAGUGAGGAAUAUUGGUCAAUGGGCGGGAGCCUGAACCAGCCAAGUCGCGUGAGGGAAGACGGCCCUACGGGUUGUAAACCUCUUUUGUCAGGGAAUAAGGUGAAGGUCGGGUGCCUUUUUGUGAGUACUUGAUGAAUAAGGAUCGGCUAACUCCGUGCCAGCAGCCGCGGUAAUACGGAGGAUCCGAGCGUUAUCCGGAUUUAUUGGGUUUAAAGGGUGCGUAGGUGGGUUGUAAAGUCAGGGGUGAAAGUUGGCGGCUCAACCGUAAAAUUGCAAUUGAAACUGGCAGUCUUGAGUGCAGUAGAGGUAGGCGGAAUGCGUGGUGUAGCGGUGAAAUGCAUAGAUAUCACGAAGAACUCCGAUUGCGAAGGCAGCCUACUGGCCCGCCACUGACACUGAUGCUCGAAAGUGUGGGUAUCAAACAGGAUUAGAUACCCUUGUAGUC
Molecule: ribosomal RNA, 460 nt
Filed under: uncultured bacterium
Lineage: Bacteria
Description: partial 16S ribosomal RNA
Rfam family: Bacterial small subunit ribosomal RNA
Source: RNAcentral